CCCAGUCAUAAUAUUCUUUAUCUUGGCUCGUUGUUUGGGGAUGGACGCAUCAAUCUGAUCGCGCUCUCCUCCAUGCCAAAUGGAUCCUUCGUUCGGAGGUGCGCGGUGCCGACGAUGACAACCUUUCUAUCGACGCAAGGGCAGCAGGAGCUCAUGACGCUGUUGAUGCCACCACCAUGCACGGGGUUGAUGCAAGGCGGGACAAGUAUGUAUACCAGGCAAAUGCGAUCACUAAUGGGGAGAACACAAAACUUCAAUUGAGGGCACUGUGAUUCUCUAGCUACAUGUAUCAUAGCUUCUGCAGGAGGGCGUCACCUGCGGCAUCACUUGCAUCGACCUCUCACUGACCACCAUCCCGAGGAUGCACGACAGACUGGCGGAGCAGGGCACCAGUGAUUGUUUCACCAAUUUGCUCGACUCAUAGUUCCCUUCCUCUCUCCACACAACGUUGCCCAUUGUUGCUAAGUUGUUAAUUCAUCAGGCCCAUUAUUGCGGCUACAUAGUCUGUUCAUUUGCCUGCCUUCUUAGGAGAAACCAAUUUACUGAAGGUUGGCAAUUCCGAAGUUAUUGCCUUUCUACUUCAAACUGAAAUAAUUCCUCUUUGUCUUUAAUAUGGAGAUGGGCACUGAACUUUAAAAAACAGUAUGAACUCAACCCCUUCUGUAAAUCAAAUAUUUCAUUUGCGGGGACGAUGUGGGGCUCACGUCGAGCACUUCACAUGCAAUGGGUGUGGCCUUCUCCGUCUGCCAAACAUGCUACAAGUACGAGCACCACGAGGGAACUGCCUGGAGUGCAAGACCCACCACAAGCUCCUCAAGGGUCAGUCAGCCUCCACCCACGGCCGAAGGCACUUGCAUAUGUGAAGAAUAUCCAUGUCCGAUUACAUCGUCAGAAAGCAAAAACCAUGAGAGCCCACACUAAUCAUCAAGGACUAUUUACAUGCCUAUAAUUAGGCCCACCAGUUUGGAUGGCAAACAAUUGCAGCUGCGAAGAAUAGGAUAUCUUCUCGAUCUCAGGGAUCAGCCCAUCUGAUCUUUUGUUUGAUUGGGGUUGCGGUUUUGUUGGGCAUAUAAAUUUGUGCUGGGUAUAUGAUCAUAUUUUUGCUGGCA
Non-coding RNA from Triticum urartu, 1109 nucleotides. NCBI's taxonomy places the organism in Eukaryota, Viridiplantae, Streptophyta, Magnoliopsida, Poales, Poaceae. The record is from RefSeq and is a predicted model, not a curated record.